This is a long non-coding RNA of Pseudophryne corroboree (corroboree frog), 297 nucleotides long. RefSeq lists it as uncharacterized. The record is from RefSeq and is a predicted model, not a curated record. The transcript has 3 exons. Lineage: Eukaryota; Metazoa; Chordata; Amphibia; Anura; Myobatrachidae.
UAAUUAUUGACAGUGAGGAUGAGGAUGAAAAACCCUCUCCCCAACUUGCCCCUACACUGUCACAGGCGGUGGCGGAGGAGGAGGACCAGGACUCUAUGUCCAUCACCUCACUGCACCCAUUAAGCCCUACACUGGAACAGGCCACGGAGGAGGAGGAGGAUGAUGAUGAUGCUGCUGCAUUUAGUGGUAAGAAUUAUUACUGACAUUGAUCUGAUGCCAUCAGAUUUUUCUGGCAAAUGCGUAGAAAUCGGAUGAAAAUUGUUUUUGUUUGAACUGGUGAUAUUGCCCAUACAGUAG